This 854-nucleotide small RNA is filed under the name Pan troglodytes (chimpanzee). RNAcentral describes it as "processed transcript". Lineage: Eukaryota; Metazoa; Chordata; Mammalia; Primates; Hominidae. The record is from RNAcentral.
AGUGAUGACACACAAGAUGGAGAGAGUGGUGGUGACGACCAGUUUCCCGAGCAGGCAGAGCUGUCAGGGCCAGAGGGGAUGGACGAACUGAUCUCCACUCCUUCGGUUGAGGACAAGUCUGAAGAGCCACCAGGCACAGAGCUCCAGAGGGACACAGAGGCCUCCCACCUUGUUCCCAAUCACACCACCUUCCCUAAGAUCCACAGCCGCAGAUUCAGGGAUUACUGCAGCCAGAUGCUUAGUAAAGAAGUGGAUGCUUGUGUUACCGACCUACUCAAAGAACUGGUCCGUUUCCAAGACCGUAUGUACCAGAAAGAUCCAGUCAAGGCCAAGACUAAACGUCGACUUGUGUUGGGGUUGAGGGAAGUUCUCAAACACCUGAAGCUCAAAAAACUGAAAUGUGUCAUUAUUUCUCCCAACUGUGAGAAGAUACAGUCAAAAGGGGCCUCUGCCUUCGAUAUAAAAUCAUAGAUGGGUGUGUUGCUAAGAAAAAGCUCUUUGCAACCAGUAUUAACACCACACUCCAUGUGACAUGUCUUCCUGUCAUUUUUCAUUGUCCUUUGACCAGGUGGGCUGGAUGACACUUUGCACACAAUUAUUGAUUAUGCCUGUGAGCAGAACAUUCCCUUUGUGUUUGCUCUCAACCGCAAAGCUCUGGGGCGCAGUUUGAAUAAGGCAGUUCCUGUCAGUGUGGUGGGGAUCUUCAGCUAUGAUGGGGCCCAGGAUCAGUUCCACAAGAUGGUUGAGCUGACAAUGGCGGCCCGACAGGCGUACAAGACCAUGCUGGAGAAUGUGCAGCAGGAGCUGGUGGGAGAGCCCAGGCCUCAGGCACCUCCCAGCCUACCCACACAGGG